GACGAACGCUGGCGGCGUGCUUAACACAUGCAAGUCGAACGGAAAGGCCCUGCUUUUGUGGGGUGCUCGAGUGGCGAACGGGUGAGUAACACGUGAGUAACCUGCCCUUGACUUUGGGAUAACUUCAGGAAACUGGGGCUAAUACCGGAUAGGAGCUCCUGCUGCAUGGUGGGGGUUGGAAAGUUUCGGCGGUUGGGGAUGGACUCGCGGCUUAUCAGCUUGUUGGUGGGGUAGUGGCUUACCAAGGCUUUGACGGGUAGCCGGCCUGAGAGGGUGACCGGCCACAUUGGGACUGAGAUACGGCCCAGACUCCUACGGGAGGCAGCAGUGGGGAAUAUUGCACAAUGGGCGGAAGCCUGAUGCAGCAACGCCGCGUGCGGGAUGACGGCCUUCGGGUUGUAAACCGCUUUCGCCUGUGACGAAGCGUGAGUGACGGUAAUGGGUAAAGAAGCACCGGCUAACUACGUGCCAGCAGCCGCGGUGAUACGUAGGGUGCGAGCGUUGUCCGGAUUUAUUGGGCGUAAAGGGCUCGUAGGUGGUUGAUCGCGUCGGAAGUGUAAUCUUGGGGCUUAACCCUGAGCGUGCUUUCGAUACGGGUUGACUUGAGGAAGGUAGGGGAGAAUGGAAUUCCUGGUGGAGCGGUGGAAUGCGCAGAUAUCAGGAGGAACACCAGUGGCGAAGGCGGUUCUCUGGGCCUUUCCUGACGCUGAGGAGCGAAAGCGUGGGGAGCGAACAGGCUUAGAUACCCUGGUAGUCCACGCUGUAAACGGUGGGUACUAGGUGUGGGGUCCAUUCCACGGGUUCCGUGCCGUAGCUAGCGCUUUAAGUACCCCGCCUGGGGAGUACGGCCGCAAGGCUAAAACUCAAAGGAAUUGACGGGGCCCCGCACAAGCGGCGGAGCAUGCGGAUUAAUUCGAUGCAACGCGUAGAACCUUACCUGGGUUUGACAUAGAUCGGGAGCGCUCAGAGAUGGGUGUGCCUCUUUUGGGGUCGGUUCACAGGUGGUGCAUGGCUGUCGUCAGCUCGUGUCGUGAGAUGUUGGGUUAAGUCCCGCAACGAGCGCAACCCUUGUUCACUGUUGCCAGCACGUUAUGGUGGGGACUCAGUGGAGACCGCCGGGGUCAACUCGGAGGAAGGUGGGGAUGACGUCAAGUCAUCAUGCCCCUUAUGUCCAGGGCUUCACGCAUGCUACAAUGGCUGGUACAGAGAGUGGCGAGCCUGUGAGGGUGAGCGAAUCUCGGAAAGCCGGUCUCAGUUCGGAUUGGGGUCUGCAACUCGACCCCAUGAAGUCGGAGUCGCUAGUAAUCGCAGAUCAGCAACGCUGCGGUGAAUACGUUCCCGGGGCU
This 1346-nucleotide ribosomal RNA is filed under the name uncultured bacterium. RNAcentral describes it as "bacterial SSU rRNA". It matches the Rfam family "Bacterial small subunit ribosomal RNA", at positions 28 to 1381 of the family's 1533-position model. The record is from RNAcentral.